Small nucleolar RNA from Nycticebus coucang (slow loris), 68 nucleotides. Lineage: Eukaryota; Metazoa; Chordata; Mammalia; Primates; Lorisidae. The record is from RefSeq and is a predicted model, not a curated record.
AGAGGUGAUGAACUGUCUUAGCCUGACCUUACAGAAUGAGGCAAACCCUGAUUUAGUGAGCCUGACAC